Cinara cedri is the source of this 10240-nucleotide non-coding RNA. Lineage: Eukaryota; Metazoa; Arthropoda; Insecta; Hemiptera; Aphididae. The record is from the annotation of a GenBank genome assembly.
AUACAAAUAAUCUAUAUUUUGAGCAAUACGGUCAAAAAAGGUAAACGAAAUCGAUCCACAUAGAACAUUUAAUCAUUUUUAAUCACUUGUUGGAGUUUUUAGUCUUCCUUUUACUAUAAGUGACCUAAACAUUUGUGAUGUAAUGUAUACAAAAUAUAUACUGUUAUUCAUUAUUUUUUUAUUGUUAUUAUAUACCGUUUUUUAUAAAAGUUAAGCGCAUGUGCAUUAUAAACUAGACGUUCUUCGUAUUGACUUUAAAGUUAUAAGUCUUAAAAAACCCUAAACGUUAAUAAGAACUCUCGCAAAUGAAUUUCCAUGGAAUGUGUUCUAUUGUCGGUUGUAUGAUUUCUAAUAUUGUUAGUGCGUUUGGUGAUCUUCCUUAGGUUUUUUCUUUAAAAUAAUAAUGUAUCCCAUAAUAUAAUGUUAGUUUAAACUAUACGGUCACGAAAGGUAAACGAAAUCGAUCCUCAUAGAACAGUUAAUCAUUUUUAAUUAUUUGUUAGGAGUUUUUAGUUUUUCCAGUUAUAUAAGUGACCAGGAUAUUUGUGAUGUAAUGUAUACAAAAAUAUAUGCUGUUAUUAAUCAUUUUUUGAUUGUUUUUAUAUACCGUUUUGUAAAAAAGUUAAGCGCUUGUGCAUUAUAAACUGGACGUUCCUCGUAUUGACUUUAAAAUUAUAAAACUUAAACACACCCUUAACGUUAAUUACAACUCUCGCAAAUGAAUUUCCAUGAAUUGUGUUCUGUUGACGAUUUUUUGAUUUCCUAUAUUGUUAGUGCUUUUGGUGACUUUCCUCAAAUUCUGUUUUUCAAAUAAUUUAUCCCAUAAAAUAACGUUAUUUUAAACAAUACGGUCACGAAAGCUAAACGAAAUCGAUCCUCAUCGAAAAGUUAAUUAUUUUUAAAUACUUUCCAUUAUUUUUAAUUUUGUUCUUUGAUGAUUUUAUUUUUCUUUAUCCCUCUUACUUUUAAGAUAUUUAAGUUUUGAUUUUAAGUUAUAAAUGAUUUUGGAAAAUUUUCAAUUUCACGAUUUUAGAUUUUUUAGUAUCAUUGACGAUGUCCUCUUCCAGAAAGAUCUAUUACAUUUGAACUUUUCAAAACUUUUUUUUAUUAUCUUUUUGAUCUACCUUCUUUCUGUAUCUGUGCCACAACUUUUUAAUUAUGUUUGAGCAUUUUAGGAAUAUUGAUGAUUUGGCUCUGUUUUUUGGUCAUUCUGUUUUACAUGGACGUAGAAAGUACAUAUUUGGUAAUAAGAUUUAUAAAAUCGUCUUUUGGAAAUCGCAAAAUUUUCGAAAUCAUAAGGCGACUAUUUAAUUUUUUUACACAGUUAUAAUUUUUUUUUAUAUAUAUUGUAUUUUACGUUUAUCCUAGAUAUUUUUUUUCGAUGUAUAUAUGUGGUAAUUUUUUUGAAUUUCAUUUUUAUCAACUUGGUUAAUACAUUCGUCUUACUAUGAUUCUUGAAACGGUUUUUAAAAUUAAAAGGAUUAACCUGGUAAAAUACAAUUUUUUCACAAAUUCGUUUAUUUUAAAUAAUUUCCAACAAACGUUGUCUACCACAAAUAUUACUUUUAUGAAUAAUGACAAGAAGCCUUUUUUGUUAAAUUUUUAAUUUUUAAUUUAAUUUAAUUUAAGUUUUUUAAUCUUUGAACUAUGCUUCAUAAUUAUCGAGAAAUAACUUAGGUGGUUGUGUGGGAUGGCUCUUUAUAUAUCUUAUAUUAUAUAUUUCUAUAAUUAUUAUGUAUUUUUCGUAUUACCUAUUAAUUUUUUGUUUUCCGGAGUUUUUUUCAGGUACAAUGCAUCUCGAUUUCGGGUCGUCAUGUUUCGAGGGACCACUGUAUAGGUACAACGUUCUACCCACACGUCCUUCAUCCUUUUCCCCUUUUCAAGGAGUAAAACUAUAAUUAUACCAUAUAAGUACGGUUCAUGUGUUUUUCAAGUGGCGAUAUACUAUACUACGUAUUUGGACGUAGUUAUAAUACAGUUUAUAUUAAUUUAAGGCAACCAACUUUACUUUCCGUUCACAUUCACUUCGUCGUUAUAUUGCCAUGAAUAAUUGCUUUUCGAACAACUUAUUAAUUUAAUAACACAACUAAUAUGAUAUGAGUGUGCCUGUAUUAUACGUUGAUGGUUAUUUCGAACUUCGAACUUAUUAAUAAAAACCGUUGUUAUUAAUUCAGUUAACUUAACAUGGUUUCGUGCAGUGUUCGUUAACUUCCUCAACAUACCGUGCCAUAAACAUAUAAAAUUAUUAUAACACGUUGUAAUGCGUGCUGUAUGCGAAAUAUGAUCAAACGGUGUCCGAACUAAUUAAAGGAAAACUAAAUAAUAUAAUAUAUUACAUUUGCAUAUUAUUUGAUCUUGAAUUUGAAUUAUUUACUAAUUUAAAGAAGUUAUCAUUUUCAAAAAUUGUCUAUAAAAAUAAAAUAUCAUUAAAUUUGUAUAGAAAUAAAUGUACGUUUUAUUAAAUUUGAUUUUCGUAAGAGGACAACGGUUUUAACAAUUAAUACCAAAUUCGGCAAAAAUUAACAACUGCAGAGUAAAAAAAUAAAAAAAAUACCUAUAAGAAAUCAAAAAUAAUAUUUUCGAUAUUUUUGUUUUCGCUAUCUAGGUUUGAAUUUUAAUAUCAUUGUAUACGGAGUGCAGAUUUUUUAUUAUACAGUUUUGAAAAAGAAGAAAAAAAUACGAUUAUAUUACGAUAUAAUAUUUCAAAUGUUUAUAUUACAUUACGUACCAUUGAACUUUGAUUGUUGCCGCUGGAAAUCGUGUAAAUGUAGACAUUAAAAAAAUAAAAAAAACAUGUAUUCAACCGUUUAAAUUUUUCUUUCACGACGACCCUUUAAAUAUUUAACCAUUACAGCUGCGCCGCACACUCAACAAAAUAUAAUGAUACUCUUUGUGGCGAAAACUAUUCACUCAUUCGUGUUAAGAACAGCUAUUGUAUCGUAGUAUAACACGCCACACACGCAGUUAAAAAGUGAACUUUACCGUUACUGUCUAUAUUAUGUAUUAUAAUAUUUAAGCAUUCGGAUAAAGGGAUAAAGCGUAUACAGAAAGUUUGAGAAUACAAGUUACUGAGAAUAUUUGAAAAAAAAAAAAUAAUAAUAAUAAUAAAAGUUUACGAUGGAACUACAUAAAUGAAACUAUAAAAAUUUCUGUUGCUGUUUUAUGUACACAUACCUUUAUAAUAUAUAUAUAUAUAUAUUAUUUUUUUCAUCGUCUUCGUUUUAUGGCGGCGGCGGCGGCGGCGGUAUAGGUAUAUACAACUAUAUAAGACGACGAAUUCAAAUAUAAUAUCGUAUACUGUAGCAACAGUAACAGCAAGUGAAUAUUGUGAUUUAUAAUAAUGCGAUGUUAGGCAGGACGAUUCUAGCAGGAGAAUUGUUAUUAUAGCCAAUCGAUUGCACUGUCAGUUACUAUAAUAUGGGUAGGCACUCUUGGGAUUUUAAAACCGGAGUAUAAUGUCUUUUUUUUCUUUUAACCAACAAAACGCUAAACGAAAUACACGUGUGUAUUAUUACGAUUAUAUUUAAUUAUUUACGAGUGCAUAUUUUUAUCACGAUUCGGACGAUUCAUAUUGUUGCAAAAUUAUUUCAAUCGGUCGCGAGUAAAAAUCGUGUAAUAAUCUACAUGGGCUCAGUUUGAGACGUUUAUUAAAUAAGAGUUGCAUCUUAUAGAGAUUUGUAUUUCAUCUAUAUACAGAAUUCUCAGAUUGUCUUCAGAUACUUGUAAUAAAUCUCUAUGUAUACAAAGGUGCAGUACAACACUAUAGUGAAAAAAAUAUAGGUCUUUACCGAAUAAUUUCGAUACUGCGCUCGACCGUUUUCCAAUAUUUAAACGGAUCUCCGUUGCUCACGCUCCGUGUAAUUUAUACCACCGCACUCGGUUUCACAUAAUUUACGUGUAUACAAAAACAUUUAUAUUUUAUGUAUAUUUUCUCGUGCGUGAACUUUUGUCCGUGUUUCUCUUCCCGUUAUUUCUCGUCCGUUUUCUCUCUAUCGCGUACGCGCACACACACGUGACGUUUAUACAGCCUUUACCGCCGUUACUAUAUCGCAUUAUAUACGCGGAAAAGGACAUUCAAAGGGCCUUGGCGGUAAAGUUGCUAUACGUCACAUAAUAUAUUACAUAAAACGGUGGCGGUAUUAUAAUAUAACCGUUGUCGUAAAAUGAUUUAUUGCCUGGGGUUUGAUUCUCCUCGCCUCCGAGAACUGGAGGAUGGUUUGCCGUUCGUUCGUGAUACGUGUACGACUCGCACGCGCGCACUUGCACACGUUUGCGAAUUAAUCAACCGGAACAUUCACGAUUCGACUUUGCACACCGAUGGCCUCGGGAUAUUCUUUGGCGUCGAUAUAGGACGGGGGAUAUUAUUCUGCACAUCGGUAUAUAUAAUAUACUAUGCAGUAUUUUUUUUUGUUCUUUUUUUUUUUUUUAUCAGAUUACCACUACCAUUUUGACUAGAGUGGGAUAAACUCUCCUUUUUGGUUUCUUUCUAUUCACGUGUUUCAGCUCUCGUACAACUGCGGUCUUUCGUACGAAAAUGCCGAUAAAAACGUUUAUGUUUGGGUUACACACGGUGAAACACCGCAACACCGAUCGAUGCUUCUCAAAGGACGGGGAGAUACAAAAAAGAAAAACGUUCAAUGGAGUAUAUUUUACAACGUGCAAAAGAGUGAAACAAUUUUUUUUUUAAUUUGAAAUAGUAGUUUUAAUGAAUGCUCUUCGCUGCUGUACUCUUAGAAUUGUGCAUUUUACGUAAAAACGGAUUUCUCUUAGCGUGCCCAUAAUAUGCAUAGGUAUUAUUUAAUCUGAAAUUUACAAAGAGACGUUUUUUAAAUUACUGCAUUAUAUACAUUAUGUGGUUAUUCACACAUACAUUUUGGAUAUAAUUUCUACCUUUUUUUCAUUGAUUUUUGAUUUUAACUACAUUUUAACUACUCAUUUUUACUACAUUUUCUUUUUAAUUUUGUGGUAUAUUUUAUAUAUUCGUCCACUGAUGCUGAUUUCAUCAUCUUAAUACUAUACAACACAACGUUUACCCAGUCAAGAGCGAUCAGGUUUUGAAAGGGAUUUAUUAGUAACCAAAUACGAACGUUAAAUUUCAAUGUAUUAAUAAUUGGAUCGUAUUUCGUGUUAAAAAGUCUGACAGUUCUCGCCUUUUCUACUUUCUGUUCUAGUCACGAAAUUCCAUAGUAUUUUAACUAUUUAAUCUACAAAAUUUGUUUAAAAAUCUGUGUUUUUUUCAACAUUUUGCUCGUUUUUCUUUUCUCUCUGGACUCGUUCGAUUUUUUUCUAACGGCGAUUUCAAAAAUAUUGGUAGAAACUGCCCACGUGUUUCAAGAAUAUCAAUCAAUAUUCAAUUUCUUAAAGUAAUUUUUAUAUAUUAUAUUUCAAAAUAUUUUUAACUGCUAUAUAUUACGAAAGAAACCGUGAAAAAAAGAUUGAUGUGAGCCGGAUAUAUCUGGCGGAAUCUAUGAUACCAUGAUAAAAAUGGCAACUGAAGUACACCCACAAGGAAAAAUAUUGUUUAGUAGUAGAUGAGAAGAUUUUAUAAGAAAAUGAGAGAUUGAUAAAAGCGAUAGACUCAAGAUUUAAUUCAAGCAAAGUAACCGAACUUUGAGGAAGAUUUAGAAAAGUUAGUUUUACGAGAUAGCCUUAAAAACCGGAAACAAAAUAUCAGUUAUAAAUCCCGCAGUUGCAUAACUUAAAAUUAUUAAAUAUAAUGAAUUCUUUAUAUAUAUAUAUAAAAAAAAAUAUAUAUAAAUACGAUUUUCAACAUUUUGACGUCACUAUGGAAAUCGCUAUACGGUUAUAAUGUUCGUUGUCCUAGUUGGACGUUCAGUGGUUGAUGGUCGAUACAAUGUAUAGCACCAAAAGUAUCCAGGAAGAAUGUUUAUUCGUUUCUGUCGUUUAUUACAGAACAUGGAUUAGGCCUACUGGGGAAACCAUGUAAAAAAAAACGCGCCUAACAUUCUACCUCAGAGGUGGUGAGGAAAUGAAUGUAUCACGAUAUUAUUACAAAAUUUGUUUAACCCUGUGUGGUUAAGGCCCCGUGUAGAAAAUUAUCAAAUAUUAUUAGAAACAAUAAUAAGAUAAUAUAUUUACGAAUAAUUUAAUUUGUAUAUUCACUGAUAAAAAUUAAUUUGUCAUAAUAAUAAAGACAUAAUAUAAAUAGCCACAAGCCCACGAAUUUUAUUCAUAAUAUCUACUUAGGUACUACUUGGGACUACCUAUCUGUUAUUAAAGUUUAAAAGAUAUUUGGCUAUUAAAAUACUUUUCGAAUAAAUCAAAUUUUAAAACCGUAACUAUUAUAGCCUUACAAUUUAACCAUGUAUAAUAGAAGUGUUUAUUUGAUAACACAUUUCCUUUAUAAGCCAUCUGGGAGGUUAUGUUCUCAAGGGCGAAGGGAAAUGGGAUAUGAGAGAUCGUGACGCCCCGUCAUUGUAAUGAUAUAUAAACGUAUUUUUGACCCAUGCACCCAUUUUGAUAUAUCUUUGAUAACAAGAGAAACUCAUCUAAUUUAAUAUAUAUUGGAUAAAAGUAAAAGUUCAUGAAACGUAAAUGAAAGCAGCAUCAAUAGUGUACGUGAAUACAACGAGAAUUGGUUAAAAAUCAAGGACCAGAUCGCUCUGGUUAAGAUAGACACUUUUGGCCGCAUUCAGUUAAUAUAGGUAACCGAAAUGGCUCUGCGCCAUGCUUCAGAAAAGGUAGGCAACGUAGUUGACUCGUCACCGUUUCAACUAUAGAUAGGCAAUUAGCAUUCGAACUACUUUUUACACCAGCUGGACGGCCGACGGAUACGAUUACAACGGUGACGACGACAAUGAUGCGGACAACACAUAGAAAUGUAUAGGCGACGAAGGAAAGACAUUCGAUGUUGUUACGUACGGAAAAAAGGAACGAUGAGGUGGAAUAUUGGAGGACCAGCUAAAGAUCAGUGAUGCAAUGACAUCCGAAUGGACGGUCUGUCAGAUUACCUUUAAAAUUAAUAUUACAAAUAAAAUAUUAUGACCCGUUCUGAAGGUGAACUGCUGGGCGUUUGACUCCGGUUCGGCGAAAUACGAAAUUGGACAAACUGUGUAGCCACGACAUCCAACACACAAUGGUCAGCUGUGUAUUUAUGUUUUAAUUCUGGCACGACACUCGAUCUUUGGGCAAACGAGUGGCAAACCAAAUAAUUCAACAACAGUCGACAGAGAGGUCCGGAGAUUGACCAAUGGACGGCGGGAAACAGGACGACGAUGAAUUAUUUAUCAACCGUGAGAAGACUAUGUUCGUGCUCAGUGGCGCAAUUUGAUAACUAGGGGCCCAUGUGAACAUUUCCAGACUGGGGCCCUUAUACUUGCUAAUAAAAAUGAAAAACAAACAUACCUUAUUAUUAUAAUUCUAAAAAAUACGGUUUUUUCACAUGUCAUUGUUAAUAAUUAUUAUUAGUUAUACAUUAUAUGACUUACACUUAUAUACGCUAACAUAAUUAUGUAUAAUAAUAUAGUAUAACAAUAAUGUAAAAAGUUUCAAUUAUAAUCUAUAUACUCUAUACCUACCCAUAUUCCGAUGUCCGGUACCUAUAAAGUAUGCGGUACACAGGUUUCUUACAUAGGUACUCGUAAGACGUAAUUCAAAUUAUCCAUAACUCGAAAGAAUAAAGACAUUAUUAUUUAUUGUUAUUGAAACAAAUAAUAUAAUAUUUGCAGGGGAGACGGGGGCACAUUAAUACAAUAGAUAACAGAGAAUAAAAUUUAGCGGUUCAUACCGAUAUGCAACGAUAUACGUACUGUUAAAUGUAACGUUUUCAUUCUGUAGCGAUUUGAUACUAAUAACCUGAAUCAUGUUUAUCAAUAUUUUUUGUAAUUUUGCCAUCAAAACGAAAAAAAAAAUGAGGUAGGUCUAUAGGUGGAAUAUUAGGAAUAUCGUAUAUGAGAUCUCGCCAGCCCCCUCCUAAAAAAAAAAACCGGAGGCCCCUGUGAAUUGCACACUCAACACUUCCGAUAAUUGCGCUACUGUUCGUGCUCGGUCCAUCGCGUGAAAGAAUUUACGGAAAGAUAAUAGAUAAUAAAACGAAAUGGGCGUUACAUGAAAUAGUAAAAGAAACGAAUUUUAUUGCCAGAAAUUAUGUUUAUAUUUUUAAGUGACAAACUGACAACUAAAUAGGUAAAUACAGGGUGUCCCACGAGGAUUUGACAAAUGCAAUUAUUUUUGUUCUAUUCAAUAUUUUUGAUAUAUUUUGUUUUUAAAUAAUUAGUAAGUAUGCCUCUGUGUUACAGUUUAUGUAUAAACAUUUUUUUUUUUUUUAAGGAGAGGGGAACCUAAAAUAAAAAAUUUAAUAUUUGACUAUAAUUUUUUUUAAAAACUUCAAAAUAGUAAUAUUACAAAAUUGAUUUUUUGGCAAUUCUUGGUAGGUUGUAACUUUUGUUAAAGCAUGGUCUUUUAUUUUCUACAAUUUUUUGAAAAUUCGAAUGAUAUUCUUUUCAAUCAUAACAAUAUUAUUAUAUAAUACAAUAAUAUCAAAACAAAUAACCAUUGUUGAUUGAUUGAUACUACCUAAUACAUAUAAUAUGAUAAUGUUAUUGCAUGAUAUUAACUCAUGUAAAAGAAAAUCAUUAUCAUGUGCACUAACUAAUAACUGAUUAAAUACUGUAAUAUUCAUAUUUGCAAAAACUUCAAAAAAUCGUAGAAAAUAAAAGACCAUACUUUAACAAAAGUUUCAACCUCCAAAAAUUAAAAAAAAACCAAUUUUCUUUUAUUAUUUUCGGAACAUUUGAAAGAAGUCAUUUUUCUAAAAAUUUUGACGUUUCAAAUUUUUAUUUUCAUUAAUUUCUUGAUUUUUAAUAAUUUUUUAAGGUCCAGAGAAAAAUUAUGUCGGUACAGUCAAUGAGCUGUAAUAAUAAAAGUUAUGUAAUAUUAAUUAUUAUUCCGAUUACCUAAUUUGUUUUACUAAUGAUGGCUAAUUUUAACAAUUGUCUUUUCUACAUAAUAUCAUAUGGGAUCACACAGUGAUCCCACAUAAUCAGAAAAACUGACGAAAAACGGGAAAAUGUACGAAAUAUAUUAUUAAAAUAUAACAAUUUUUUUUUCUGUGCACAACUUUUCGACCAACAAUUUUGCACCAAUUUUUUAAUGAAAGCAAUUAUUCUAAAAGAAAAUUCAACUGGAGAGGUACUUUAAAGAGGUUAUUUUCUGAUUUUCUUAGGAGUUAUCCCAUCAAAUUUGAAGAACUGAAAAAAAAGGGGGAAAUAUAAAAGAGGUAUUAGUUAGGUUAUUAGUUAGGUAUUGGUUAAAAUAUAUUAUGAUUUAUUUUUUUCGCGCACAACUUUUCUACCAGUAAUUUCGCGCCAAUUUUAAACGAUAAAACGAUAGCAAUGUUUCUAAAAGGAAAUCAAACUGGGGAGAUAAAGUACCUAGGAAGGUCAUUUUUUGAUUUUCCAAUUAAUUUUCAUAAUAUCAAUAAAACUCAGGAUAAAACGUAAGAAAAACGAGGAAAUUUACGAAAAUAAUGAUUUUAUUAUUUUCAAUUUUGUUUUUUGUUGUAAUUAAGUUUAAAAUAUCUAUAGAGACUUGAAAUUUGGAUAGAAGACUUAUGUAUGCCUUUUUUUGACGUAGUAAAACUGUUGAACAAUUUAUAGACAUUUUAUUUUUUAUAAUUUUGUGAGUUUUGUAUGUAAUUUUUUUUCGGUAGGUACUUUGUGGAUACAAUUGUUAUAUCAAAAUGAAAUGCUUGAUAAUUGAAUAUGAGAUUCAUAAAAAGUCGUACUCUGUGGUAAAAAAAAAUGUUGAGCAGUGGCUAACUGGCUUAUGACAUUUAAUAUUCAUUAAAAUGAUAACAUUAAUAUAGACAAUAUUAUUGAUCAAACCACUUGCAAAAAAAUACUUAAAUAAUAGUAUUUUUGACUUGGUCAUCUAAGUUUUAUUAAUUGUUAUUAUAAUUAUUUUUGUUAUUCAUAUUAUCAUUAUUUAAUUAUUAUUUAUUUUAUGUGAAAAAAAAAUUAACUUUUAAAUUGUAGUUUUUUACUGUAAUUGUACAAUAUAUCUACAUUAUACAGUUUUUUAUAUACGUUAUAUAAGUAAUAUAAGUUAAAAUGACAGCAGACAUGAAGGUUUUAAGUUUUUGUUGACCAAAGCGGUGGUAUUCAAGAGUAAAAAUUGUUUGCUAUUUUCUUUAUGGUUAUUAUAUUUAUUAAUUAAUAAUAAUAAUAAAAAAAAAAAAAAACAAUAAUAAAAACCAUUAUUUUAUUUUAUUCCUUAUCCC